Long non-coding RNA from Ornithodoros turicata, 1683 nucleotides. RefSeq lists it as uncharacterized. The transcript is spliced from 2 exons. The record is from RefSeq and is a predicted model, not a curated record. Lineage: Eukaryota; Metazoa; Arthropoda; Arachnida; Ixodida; Argasidae.
UUGUGAGUAUUUAUAGCGCUGCAGGCGUUGAUCGUUGCUUGUCAUCACACAAUUUUGUAAGGUGUCAGUAUACUGAUGCAUCCUAACAGUGUUUCACAGGUGUCCUGCCGUUCGAUUCUUAAUUACGUUAUGUUUUGCAUUCCGAAACUAGACCGUCACAGCAGUGCAGCGCUGGGGAUUGUACUACAGUACGUUUCCCAGCCAAUAUUUCAACAAGAAACGAUGUGAGGUUAACAACCACCAUGCGCGGUUGUGCCAAACUGAAUGUCCUUCUGGAGUACUCACAUGCUUUUGCUGAAUACAACUGCAGCGUGAGCAAAGCUGCUUAGGAACGGGGGCCUGCUAUCCAGUGCUGACUUUGUCAUGCUUGUUAUGUGGAGCACAUUCGAAAAAAUGCAGCUGCACAUCUGAAACUCCAAUGAGUAUCAUCGUCAUCUAAAAGAGAGCGUCGUAGCACCGUUGUGAGACCAGACACGCUUUCUGAAUAUCUUCUAUGGCACCUUCCGCAGUUUGCACAAUUUUGUUCAGCAUCGAAGUCUCUCAUAGGAACCACUUUGCAUUAACUGUGACUCCCAUCUUACAUUUUGAUGUGCAAGGGCCUUCUUGCACUACACACGUAUGGUCUGCAACAGGAUAAUUGCAGCAGGACGAUUUGGAGCUUGAAACAGUUGUGAUUUUGUCAUUUUGGCCCUCGUGUACCCCGUCUGUGAAACGUAAACAAAAAAAAUCUAACACGAUAUGCUUUUGUAAAGAAGGUCACUGAUGAUGAGUAAAGAGAAUAUACGAGUUCAAGUUUAUUCAAUAUUUUAUAUCAUUCAUUAUACUAUUCAACAUUUUAUGUCAAGUUCAUACAACAUCAAGUUUAUUCAAGUUCAAGAUUUAUUUCUUGCACUUAUGCGUUUCAGGAUACAAUGAACGUGCAGGGAGGUCACAAAAGACUACAUUUAUUGUUUUAUGACCUUGCUACAAUGACAAUAUAUAUUUUAGGAAUGACAAUGGACAGGUACUCUCUCUAAAUUUGUAGCACUCAAUUUUAGGUUAGAAUGAGCAAUGAAUCGCAACUUCCCUCCUGGUAUUUUCUUAUAUAUGAUGAAUUUUGAAUUUAAUGUGAUCAAAUAUGUGUUAAUAUAAUAGUAUAUAUAAGAAUAUAAUACGUGAUAAAUGAAUGUGAUCAACAGUAGAUGUAAACAACACCAGUAGCCAGAGAAGUGCAUUCUCAAGAAAUAAUUUUCUUCUUAUAGCAUAUAUGUGCAUGCCCUAUUAACUGAAACAAUUAUCACGGUUCUCACGGUUUUAAUUUCUGAGAGUGUACUGUAGAGACGGCUUAGAUCUACAACAGUUAAUACAAGGUAUUAUAUACUGUGAAUACGUUUAAAAAUCCCAUGUGACACAUACUUUUGGAGGUGCUGUGGUAAUCAAAGUUUGUGGGCAUUACGCAGGUUCUGCACCCAUUUCUUGAGUAUGUCGAGGCAGCUGUGAAGUAACCUGCAUUGAUGAUGAUUAUUCCAAUUUUUAUGGUGCAUCGACAACAAAGGAAAUAAUACAUCAGAACAUUGGUUUGGGUGCAACCAGUUAAAAAUGAAUAUGUUGUUUAAUAAAUGCAUUGGACAAAUGUUAAAACAGCAGUUUAAAACAUGGUUUACAAUCCCUGUAUCUUCUAAAAAUUAAAAAGAUGAAAAACUA